RNAcentral lists this ribosomal RNA (460 nucleotides) under uncultured bacterium. Its description in RNAcentral is "partial 16S ribosomal RNA". It matches the Rfam family "Bacterial small subunit ribosomal RNA", at positions 338 to 795 of the family's 1533-position model. The record is from RNAcentral.
CCUACGGGUGGCAGCAGUGAGGAAUAUUGGUCAAUGGACGAGAGUCUGAACCAGCCAAGUAGCGUGAAGGAUGAAGGAUCUAUGGUUUGUAAACUUCUUUUAUAGGGGAAUAAAGGUAUCCACGUGUGGAUAUUUGCAUGUACCAUAUGAAUAAGGAUCGGCUAACUCCGUGCCAGCAGCCGCGGUAAUACGGAGGAUCCGAGCGUUAUCCGGAUGUAUUGGGUUUAAAGGGAGCGUAGGUGGAUUGUUAAGUCAGUUGUGAAAGUUUGCGGCUCAACCGUAAAAUUGCAGUUGAAACUGGCAGUCUUGAGUACAGUAGAGGUGAGCGGAAUUCGUGGUGUAGCGGUGAAAUGCUUAGAUAUCACGAAGAACUCCGAUUGCGAAGGCAGCUCACUGGACUGCAACUGACACUGAGGCUCGAAAGUGUGGGUAUCAAACAGGAUUAGAUACCCGAGUAGUC